Pipra filicauda (Wire-tailed manakin) is the source of this 329-nucleotide long non-coding RNA. RefSeq lists it as uncharacterized. Lineage: Eukaryota; Metazoa; Chordata; Aves; Passeriformes; Pipridae. The transcript has 3 exons. The record is from RefSeq and is a predicted model, not a curated record.
AAAGAGCUUGAAGAAUUAACUUCUGAAUCCAGCAAACCAAAAAAGUAGAGAAAAAAUAUGACACCGAUCUUCUAGCCUGAUUUCAGUAAGGAGUGGACUCAAAAUAUUCCAUAAUACAGAAUCAUUUUGAAGAUCAUGAUUCCUGUGACUUCCUUGGAGCCCAAGGUGGAGCGAUCCACCCUGGAGAAACCUCUUUUCAUCAGAGAGGUGUUCUACCCCUGGAUCUUCCAUUCCAAUCAGAUUCACCUGCAUGUUCUCUCCAGCACCAUGCCUUUGAGAGGGCACUUGUCCAACUUUUCUGAUUAAAGUGGAUGCACUACUGUAGAUAC